RNAcentral lists this ribosomal RNA (520 nucleotides) under uncultured bacterium. RNAcentral describes it as "bacterial SSU rRNA". It matches the Rfam family "Bacterial small subunit ribosomal RNA", at positions 120 to 674 of the family's 1533-position model. The record is from RNAcentral.
GGGAACAUACCUUUUGGUUCGGAACAACACAGGGAAACUUGUGCUAAUACCGGAUAAGCCCUUACGGGGAAAGAUUUAUCGCCGAAAGAUUGGCCCGCGUCUGAUUAGCUAGUUGGUGAGGUAACGGCUCACCAAGGCGACGAUCAGUAGCUGGUCUGAGAGGAUGAUCAGCCACAUUGGGACUGAGACACGGCCCAAACUCCUACGGGAGGCAGCAGUGGGGAAUAUUGGACAAUGGGCGAAAGCCUGAUCCAGCCAUGCCGCGUGAGUGAUGAAGGCCCUAGGGUUGUAAAGCUCUUUUGUGCGGGAAGAUAAUGACGGUACCGCAAGAAUAAGCCCCGGCUAACUUCGUGCCAGCAGCCGCGGUAAUACGAAGGGGGCUAGCGUUGCUCGGAAUCACUGGGCGUAAAGGGUGCGUAGGCGGGUUUUUAAGUCAGAGGUGAAAUCCUGGAGCUCAACUCCAGAACUGCCUUUGAUACUGAGAAUCUUGAGUUCGGGAGAGGUGAGUGGAACUGCGAGU